RNA transcript from Fragaria vesca subsp. vesca, 1008 nucleotides. RefSeq lists it as uncharacterized. Lineage: Eukaryota; Viridiplantae; Streptophyta; Magnoliopsida; Rosales; Rosaceae. The transcript has 3 exons. The record is from RefSeq and is a predicted model, not a curated record.
UUUUAACAAAAAAUGUCAUAAAAAGUUUUAUAGAUGACAUUUUUCUGAAAAACGUCAUGAAAAGCAAGUCUCACAACAUUAGCAUGGCGUUAUAGAAACGCCGUUAAAUCUAACCCCUUUCAAUGACGUUUUGCUUGAACGCCAUUACGUUUACGGCGUCUUGAAAACGCCAUGAAUAUGGUAUAUGCCGAUUAACUUAAUCUAUUUUUCGUUCUCUCUCAAUUUCACUCAACCUUUCUCAAUUUGUUCUCACACUCUCUCUCUCUCCCUUCACUCUUGAAAACCUAGACGCAAAAACCAAAAUCUUGUUCAUCAACAACUCGAUCUACUAUAAUCUCUCAGUCCACCACCUUCACCCACUCGCCGUCGUUGUUCCGAUCACCCUAUUUUCGGAAUCUACAAGUUUUCGCGACUUUCUCAGUUUUGGGGGACGAUUGCAAACCUCAAACAGGAUCCAACAAGUUCGUGUUUGAUGUGCACGAUGACAGGUAGGAAGAUGAGCUUCAGAUCAGUGAAUGAAGGAGGAGAUGCCCAAGGUUCGCCUAUUCCUUCAGAUCUAAAUUCAGAAACCACUGUUUCCUCCAAGCCCACUCUCGACAGGUUCAUUGGGAAGCCUGCCCCAAAGCCUCAGCCGGAGACUCAAAUUCCGGCGAUGUGAGACCGCACCCUUCUUCAAAUUGAUGCCGAAAAAACCCAAAAUUGUCUUUAUCGAGUAGGGAAGCUAACUACAAGUAAGGCAAAUGCUGAAGUGGUGUAUGUUGUCAGGAAGGAGGAAAAGGAACAGAAAAUGCAGCUUUUGCAGAGUUAUUUGAUCAUUUGUGGUAGAGCACAGGAGGAGUUGCUAGUCUCUCGGCCACUUCCAAAGACAACAGUUUCUAGUCUCAACUACUUAAAAAAAACUCUGGUUUAGCUAGCCUAGAACAGCUUGUGUUGUCAUUUUUUUCUUUUCUUUCUCUAAGCUUAUGUAUACUUGAAUUUGUAGAGAAGCAAUAAAAAUUACAUUGAUGG